UCUAAUGUGACAGAUUAAAUGUAAUGAAUUUAAGAUUCAUCAAUAAAUAUAAAUAUUUCUUUAGAA
RNAcentral lists this transfer RNA (66 nucleotides) under Multareoides digitatus. Its description in RNAcentral is "tRNA-Leu". Lineage: Eukaryota; Metazoa; Arthropoda; Insecta; Hemiptera; Membracidae. The record is from RNAcentral.